Molecule: non-coding RNA, 2242 nt
Organism: Agelaius phoeniceus (red-winged blackbird)
Lineage: Eukaryota; Metazoa; Chordata; Aves; Passeriformes; Icteridae
Source: RefSeq, a predicted model, not a curated record
AACCCGCGAGGAAGGAGCGGAUAUGGCCGCGAAUAGGAACUUGAAGCAAGUGCGGAUCGAAAACAGCUCCCCGGCGGUGCCGCUGGGCAUGGUGGGGGGCGGCGGCGGCGGCAACCUGAAAGGAUUGCGCGGCCUAGAAGCGGAGAGUGAGGCGGCGGCGGCCAUGGCUCUGGUGCCGAGCAAAGAAGGCGGCGGAGAUGAGGAGCAGGAGGUUGGGUUCACCAUCGAUAUCAAGAGCUUUCUCAAACCUGGCGAGAAGAGCUACACGCAGCGUUGCCGGCUGUUCGUGGGGAAUCUGCCUACUGAUAUCACCGAGGAGGAUUUCAAGCGCCUUUUCGAGCGCUACGGGGAGCCCAGCGAGGUCUUCAUCAAUCGGGACCGUGGCUUCGGCUUCAUCCGCCUGGAAUCUAGAACCUUGGCUGAAAUAGCAAAGGCAGAACUUGAUGGUACUAUUUUGAAGAGCAGACCACUUCGAAUUCGAUUUGCUACCCAUGGAGCUGCCUUAACUGUGAAGAAUCUGUCGCCUGUGGUUUCCAAUGAGCUGCUGGAACAAGCAUUCUCGCAAUUCGGGCCAGUGGAAAGAGCGGUUGUUGUAGUAGAUGAUCGCGGCAGAGCUACAGGGAAAGGUUUUGUAGAGUUUGCAGCAAAACCUCCGGCACGGAAAGCUCUAGAAAGAUGCAGUGAUGGGGCAUUCUUGCUUACAACAACACCUCGACCUGUUGUUGUAGAACCGAUGGAGCAAUUUGAUGAUGAGGAUGGACUCCCUGAGAAGCUAAUGCAAAAAACACAACAGUACCACAAGGAAAGAGAACAGCCUCCACGCUUUGCUCAGCCUGGAACAUUUGAGUUUGAGUAUGCUUCGCGGUGGAAGGCUCUUGAUGAGAUGGAAAAGCAGCAGCGGGAACAGGUUGACAGGAACAUUAGAGAAGCCAAAGAGAAACUUGAGGCAGAAAUGGAAGCAGCUAGACAUGAGCAUCAGCUAAUGCUGAUGAGGCAAGAUCUCAUGCGUCGUCAGGAAGAAUUGAGGCGCUUGGAAGAGCUUCGAAACCAAGAACUUCAAAAACGCAAGCAGAUACAGCUGAGACAUGAAGAAGAGCACAGACGUCGGGAAGAGGAGAUGCUGCGCCAGAGGGAACAGGAGGAAUUACGACGACAGCAGGAGGGAGGAUUUAAGCCAAAUUUCAUGGACAAUGUUACUAUUAAAAUCUUAAAAAUGCAGAUGAAGACUGGCUUGUGCAGAAUCCUUCUGGUAUCUUAUGCAGACAAAAGAGAAUCCUAAACCAGGUUUUAGUACAAGGUUUCAAUGGAAGCUGCUGGUGGCUGCCCACCCCCAGAACUGAGGCUGUUACAUUGUGAUGAUGUGCAAAAUGCUGCUCUGCACCUUGGAGUUACAAGGACCAUCAGGAAGGGCCAGACCUAUGAGACCUGAAGGAAAAGGGCUGUUUGAAAUGACAAAAAAGAACACAAACAGCCUGGAGGUGGUGUCCCCCACCAAUACCUCAGCUUGGAAAAGACAUGAGAAGAAUGUGAAUACAUCUGCUCGUGAGCUCCAAGUCCUCUUCCUACAUGAGGAGACAAGUUACAGCUUUUGUGAUGUUACUGUCUUCAGCCUCUGGCACAGAAGGUGGUGCCAGUCCAGCAUUUCAUAGCAGAGCUGAUGUUGGCCUGCUUUGAUGUGUAACUGAGCAAUGCAGUGGACAUGAAUUGAAGACUUGACUGGAACCUCACACAGUUAAAUCCUGCAGUGGGAACUGAACUAAGCUGAUGGUGAAGCAGCUGGUGGUGAAGCAGCUUUGCAGAGGCUGAUACGGGGUCCUGAGGGACAAGUGAAGAUGAAGGUGUCCACUCCCAUGCUGGGCUCCAUUAGAAGAUCAUGGCUGAGCAGGGGCCAGAAGAGCAAUCUCUCAGUUCAGCACUUCUGAGACUGCAGCUGAAACACUGUGUCCAGUUCUGGGCUCUUGAAGACAAGAAGAUGUAGUAACAAACCCCAUGGAAGCCAUUGGGCAAUCAGAAGGCUGUGGAGCACAGGAGCCACAGGGCCAGGCAGCAGGGGUUCUUCCAGCUGGAGAACAGGAGGUAGGGGUGGUUAAGAGAUCCUGUUAACCUGGCUGUGUAAGAGAAGUGCAUAGAGAAGAUGGAGCCAGGCUCAUGGCAGUGGUACACAGUAUGGUGGCAGUUUUGUUCCAUUGUUUCAGUGCAUGGAAGUGGCACACCAUACCACUAAUAAAAACAGUACAAGGUA